GUAAUAAAUUACUGAUCUCUGCUCUGGGGAAACCGAGAGGAUGGGACAUUUCAUUUGAAGAAUGUAGGAAUGGCUGAGCUGAGAAGGCAUGGAAGGGCAUUGGAGACCCAGGGACCUGCAUAGACAAAGCAGUUGAGUUUCAUCUGGAAGAGAGGCCAUUGAAACCAAGCAUUUGUGUUCAAGUAAGAAAAUGUAUCCAAGUCACAAAGAAACAUAAUUUGGCUUUUGGAGACAUGAGCAGCUUCAUUUCUCAUUUGUUCAUUCGAAAGUCUCCACUGGGCUUCUGAGUGCCACAUCCUGUCCAGAAUGAUGAAAGAUACAGAAAAUGGUGCCUGCUGACCUUCUGGAGUUAUUGGCUAGUAAGAAAGCGCCAACACCCUCACUCAGCCGUGGUCCAGCCAGAAGACAAGGUCAGAUAAAACAACCAUAAAGAAAAAAAAAACCUUCUUCUAGAGUGGCUGGGAAUGAGGUCACCGUGAUGUCUUCCCCUGAAUCGGUGCCAUCGUGGUUUUGAAGUGUGACGGUCACUCAGCUCAGGAGUCCUCGCUAUGUGAGCCUGUCCACCACUAUUCACCCUUGGUGGAAGAAGACCCUGAGCACCCCAAAACAUGACAUCCUUAUUUUCAGGAACCUCUAACUGAAAUUGAGCCCUUCCUUUCUUUAUGAAUAUAGGCACUGUCUUAGUUCCCUGCGGCUGUGGUAACAAAGCGCCUCAAACUGGGUGGCUUAAAACACAGACAUUUGCUGUCUCAGGGCUCUGGAGGCUGGAAGUCUGAGACCAGAGUGUCACUGGGGUUGGUUCUUCUGAGGCUGUCAGGGAGAAUCUACUCCAGGCCCUCCCGCAGGCUCUGGGAGUGGCUGGCUGCCUUUGGCAUUCCUUGGCUGGGAGACACAAAGCCUUGAGCCCUGCCUUCCUCUUCACACUGUGUUUUCUCUGUUUGUGAGUCUGUGUCCAAAUUUCCCUGGAGAAAUACCCAUCAUAUGGGUUAGGGAUCCCCCAAUGACCUCACUGAAACUUAAUGUGGAGCCUGUCUCCAAAUAAGGUCACAUUCUGAGGUAUUGGUGGUGAGGACUUUAACAUGGGAGUUUUUUGGGAGGAGGCCCUCACCCACAGUAGUAGAACUUGUGACUUUGUCACCAAAAGAAAUCACUUAUUUUCACAUCGCACCGUAGUAGCAGUGGACAUCUCCAAAUACCGGCGAAGCUAGUCCUGCCUGCAAAGUUAAGGCAGUUUUUUUUAUCAGAUCUAGAGCUGGAAAUCAUUGUUAAAUGAGGCGAUGAGGAAGUGUGUAUAUUAUUCUGGCUCACUUUUAAAAAUAUUUUGAUCCAUUUAUUUCAACAUAAUUGAUUUCCCCUGUGAUUCUGUAUGUUUUGUAUUAUACAUGUAAAAACGUUAUUCAGAGGAGUUCACAGGCUUCACCCGACUGUGUUGAAAGGACCCAUGAUGUAAGGAUGUUUGUUGUGGGGGGUGCUUGUGGCUCCUUAACUGGCUCUGGAAAGAGCCUACUUCCCAUAGUGAACCCUGUGAGGUCCAAUUCUGUUCCUCCCCCUGGAGCUCCAAGAGAAGGUCAUUGUCCUUGUAGCAGCAGGUGCCCCCCCAAGCUGGGUUCUCACUGCAGGUGCCAGCGGGCUCUCAGUAGGUAUGACCUGGAUGUGAGUGGUGAGCCAGGAUUGAGGCACUCAGCACCUUCGACCACACUUCCCACUCUCCCUGGGGUUCAAGUCAGGCUAUGGAAAGUGUACACCCUGUUUGUCAUAUAACUGGAUGGGUGGUGGGCAGAACGCCUCUGGCAAGGUAGACCUUGAAGGCAAAACUGAGUUGAGGUUUGUUAGGACGGAAAUAAUUACUGCUGGGCAUGCAGCACUUCCCAACCGUUCUGUGAGGCAGGCAGUGUUAUUGCCAGUUUGGCACAAGGGCACAGGUGUAGAACACGUAAGUGCCCUGGGCCGUGCUACACCACCACUGUGUUUGAGCUGAGAUGUGAACCAGGGCCUUCUGAUUCCAAAUUCCUCAUUCCU
This 2019-nucleotide long non-coding RNA is filed under the name Homo sapiens (human). Its description in RNAcentral is "HSALNT0404263". Lineage: Eukaryota; Metazoa; Chordata; Mammalia; Primates; Hominidae. The record is from RNAcentral.